RNAcentral lists this ribosomal RNA (301 nucleotides) under uncultured bacterium. Its description in RNAcentral is "partial 16S ribosomal RNA". It matches the Rfam family "Bacterial small subunit ribosomal RNA", at positions 509 to 808 of the family's 1533-position model. The record is from RNAcentral.
CAGUAGCCGCGGUAAUACGUAGGUCCCGAGCGUUGUCCGGAUUUAUUGGGCGUAAAGCGAGCGCAGGCGGUUAGAUAAGUCUGAAGUUAAAGGCUGUGGCUUAACCAUAGUACGCUUUGGAAACUGUUUAACUUGAGUGCAGAAGGGGAGAGUGGAAUUCCAUGUGUAGCGGUGAAAUGCGUAGAUAUAUGGAGGAACACCGGUGGCGAAAGCGGCUCUCUGGUCUGUAACUGACGCUGAGGCCCGAAAGCGUGGGGAGCGAACAGGAUUAGAUACCCCAGUAGUCCCUGUCUCUUAUACC